GCUGAAGUUCAGCCCCAAGUCUGACUAAAAAAGCAUGAAAACUAUAGGCCAGAAAGAGAAGGCAAUUAAAACCAGGAAUGAAAAUACAGGAGGGGAAGUUGCUGUGUGAUCUUGGACGAGUUACUGAACCUUGCUGUGUUUCUUCAUCAAUGAAGUGGAAUCAUCAUGGACUCCAUCUCAUCAGAUUGUUUUGAAGAGUAAGUGAGAUAAUGGACACACAGUGCCCAGCACAGAGCCUGACCUAGAGUAUGCCCUUGCGUGAGUCAAGGUAGGCUAGUUGUGUCGUUAUGACAAUCAAUGCAGGGUUUAAGUAUCUUUAAAACAUAAACAUUUAUUUAUUUAUUUUUACCUAAUGUUGGCCGUCAGUCUGGGAGAUUCCUCCAAGGAGUGGCUCAAUGAUAAAGGCUGCUUCGACCUCAUGGCACCCCGUCUCAAUACAUACAUCUGUGGUUGUGAUGUAGGUGGGACAGAUGGAGGGUCUCACUGAUAGUGAGUGCUUUGGCCUGGAAACGACUCACAUCACUGCCACUCACAGCCAAUUGGCCAGAAAUAGUCAUAUGAUCCCAAAGCAAAAAAAAAAAAAAAAAAAAAAACCUCAAAAAAAAAAAAGCAACACAGAACUAUAAUCUUUCCAGGUGCCCAGAACUGGGUGAGCCCAGCGUUCCAUGUAGCUGAACUACACAGCACUCUAUGCAGCCAUAUAUCAGGAAAGUGCCCUCCAAGAAGUUGGCUGAUGUGGAAGCCACACAAGUUUGGUGAAGUCCUCAGUCCCCUAAAAAUACUUUACAUUUUUAAUUAGUCUUCAGAAUUCUAGUAUUCCUUAUGUCCUGGACAGUUUAAAAUAAUGUCCCUAAUUUACAGGAAAGCUACCAUUUCCUAGAAAAUGCGUAAGGCUAUUCCUAGGAUUUUGAGAGAUUUGGUGCUGGUAAUGAGGAUGGGGAUGUGACAAUUAUUUUUCUAAAUUCCAUCUAAGGUGGUUCAUGUAGAUCUGGUAUUUUGAUCUUUCCCUGAUGCUAUUUUUUCCAUAGGGUGGAUUGGUGUCCCUGUGGAUGGGGAGUGAGGCUAGGAAAGGCAGCUCAGCGCAUCUUUGGGCCUGUGAGCUGUGAGAAGUUCCUGCUCCCUGACAGUUGAAUCAAUUCUCUGUCACGUAAAAACUAAUAAAGAAAGAAUGACAAAGCAGCUUAUGGAAAUGGAGCCACACUUCAUGUUCCAACAGGCUCUGUGGUGGCAUUGAAAGAGAGUAUCCCACAAUCAAGAUUAAAACCAGCAGCCUGACAACCACCAGAAGAGACAGAAUGGGACUGGACUUCCUCCAAAGCCUCAUUCCUGGGGAAUUGUUGUUAUUUGACUUGUCUGGUGGGUCCCUGGACCUACUUGCAAGGCGUCUUUUAUUUGUUUUAACUCAGAGCUCAUCCAGUGAAAAAAAAUCUUUCUCCAAGGGCAUUUAUCAAAACUAUUUAGAGGCAGUUGUUCUACUUUGACACUGCCUGAGGUGGAGAUAGCAGUUGGGGCAAACAAUAGGCUAGAGAGUGAGAUAUCCAUAGGGGCUUUGAAAUCCUCUGAUAUAUUCCUGGGAAUCUAUAAGUCCACAUACAGAUGUAGGCUGUGUGCAUGCCAGGAGAUUUACACAUGAUCAGUAAAGACCUGAGAAGUCCGUAAAUUCUCACUGCUGGAUGACCCUGAGGCUCUGUGUAGGCAGGAAAUGAAGGCUAAGGCAGAGUUGUCAAUUGUCUGGCUGCAUAAAGAAGGCACACUCCAACACAAAGAGUCUUUCAGCCAAGCCUGGAAGACUUAUUGGUUACAGGUGUAUAAAAAAAAAAUCUCUGUCCAGUAAUUAGCUUACCAAUAAGUUAAUUGAUCAGAGAUAUCAGUGGCCACACAUGACAGAGAAUACAGACUUAACAUAAUUAGUUCAUGACAAGUCACCAAACAGAAACAACAAAAAACAAAAUCAAACCAUGGGGAGAGUGGUUGAAUCAGAUAUCCAGAACAACCACAUUAUAUAAUUUAAAAUAUAAAUUUUCAGAAAAAAAUUUAGAGACAGGCAAAUAAAUAAGAAAGUAUAGUCUGUACAAAUGAAAAAAAUAAUCAACAGAAAGUGUCCUUGAGGAAGCCCAGAUACUGGAUUUAUUUAACAAAGACUUUAAAUUAGAUACUUAAAAUAUGUUUAAAGAGCUAAAGGAAACUGUCUAAAAAGCUAAAAAAGCAUAAGAAUAAUGUCUUAAUAAAUAGAGAGUGACAAUAAAGAAAUAUACAUUAUGUAUAAAAAAACUAAAUAGAAAUUCUAGAGUUGAAAAGUCAAAAUAACCGUAUAAAAUAAUUCACAUGAUUUAAAAGCAAAUUUGAGAGAAAAUGGCUUCAAGAUGACUGACCAGACUUGGUACUCACCUCUUCCACAGAGAGGAACCAAAAUAGCAAGUAGAUAAUCACACUUUGAAUAGAUUAUCUAAGAAAGGACACUGGAAUUCAACAGAGAAAUGAUGGGCAACACUGAAAGCAAAGGAGAGGGAAGUGAGGUAGCAUGUUUGGCCAGGAUUGGCUGCGAGUCUGUAGAAGCUCCCUAAUUUGGGGAAAGGGUAAAUGAGAGACCCCCAGAGGUCGACAUUCCUGCCACAAACUCCUAUAAUCUUAGUCACCGGAGAGCCCCUAGGCCCUAGAGGACCUGAAGACUAACAUAGGGAGCUGCCUGAAGACCACAUGAAGGCAUUGGUCUAGAGAGAGAGAGCUCACACUGGGUUUCACAAAUCCCUAGUCCUAAGAAGAUGCAUCAUGAUGCCAUUCUGAGAGCCCAGCCCCACCUGACUGUCCUGCCCUUGGGCUCAACAGCUUCUAUAUCUCCACAUUCCUGGAUCCCCAUUGCCCAUAGCCACUGCUGUUGAGGGGAGUGAAUGGAAGCUAUGGGCAGCAACACGCCUUGCCCUCCUCCCAACGGAGAGGCAGCUAUGUAUUUCCACAUGCCCUGAGGACAAAUUCCACUGUCCACAACUGCGGUUGCUCUUGGCUGCUGUGGGCUGAGGUGUAAGAGAAACUUGAGCCACUCAGCUACCUGCUUACAGCUGCUCCCACUAAAAGCAAGCUUGUCAUCUUCUGUGUCAGGCCUGAAGUGCACCUGCUACUGCCCUACCUGAGCAUUCUGCCGGUGGCCUGGGGAUCACCCCACCCCUCCUGCCACACAACUCUGGGGGGUCUGAGGGCGGGUCCACUGGACCUGCUCCACAUUCCCAGUACCUGACUACAUUGUCUGGGUGCCUGGAGCUUGCCCAGCUGAGUCCACCAAUGUUGGCACUUGAGCAUUCCUCCCAGGGUCUGAGAUUGGGCCCGUUCACCCUACUGAUGCCACCACAGCUGGCAUCCAUGUGCAUGCACCACAUGUGGGUCUGGGGACUGGCCCAUCCAGCCCAUUGCAGCCAUCACCAACACCAGUGCAAACAGUUUGGGUCCCAGAGGGUUGUCCUACUCCCACCAUUGUUACUUCCAUUGCUUAUGCCACACCUACUGCCCAGGAGAUUGAGAGCUCAACUACCUGCCUGGCCAAUUGCUGCCAUUCCCAGCAUGCAAGCAAGUCUCCUGGAGGCCCAAGAAUCAGCCUACCUGAACCUGCUAACACUGUUGCCAGUAUACACUGCCCGAGGGCCCAGGGACAGGCACACUUAGUUGACAAGGAACACAAGGAUUCUCUAAUAAGAGAUCCAAAUCAGAAAGAAUUUUUAAAAAUUACAGAAAAAGAAUUUAGUUUGACACUAAAUAAGCUCAAUGAGAUAAGAGGAUAUCGAAAAGCAAUACAAAGAAAUUAGAAGAACAAAUCAGGAUAUGAAUGAGAAAUUUAUCAAAGAAAUAGAUAUUACAAAAGAGAACCAAACAGAAAAUCUGAAGAAUCUGUUGAAUGAAAUACAAAAUACCUUCAAAAGCUUUAACAGUAGAAUAUAGCAGGCAGAAGAAAGACUCUCAAAACUUGAAGACAAGUCUUUUGAAAUAACCCAGUCAGACAAAAAUAAAAAAGAAUGAAAAAGCCUUAUGACAUAUGGGACACCAUAAAGCAAUCAAAUAUUCAAAUUUUUGAUGUCUUAGAAGGCAAAGAGAAAAUGAAAGAGAAAACAUAUUUAACAGAAUAGUAGAUGAAGACUUCUCAAGUUCACCAAGAAAUUUAGAUAUCUAGAUUCAGGAGGCGCAAAGAAAACCAAAUAGAUACAAUUCAAUGUCUUCUCCACAGCACAUGGCAGUCAAACUGUCAAAAGUCAAAGACAAUGGAAAAACUCUAAAACCAGCAAGAGAAAGUCAUCUAGUCACUUAUAAAAACCUCCCUCCCGACUAACAGCAGAUUUCUCAGCAGAAACCUUACAGACCAGGAGAGAAUGGGAUGAUAGGUUCAAAGUGUGAAAGAAAAAGAGUGUCGGCCAAGGAUACUAUAGCCAGAAAAGUUAUACUUCUUAAACGAAGAAGAAAUAAAGUCUUUUCAAGACAAGCAAAAGCUGAGGGAAUUCAUCAACACUUGAACAAUCCUACGAGAAAUGCAUAAGGGAGUCCUACACCCAGAAGAGAAAGAACAAAAACUACCAUCAUGAAAACACAUCAAAAUAUAAGAACCACCGGUAGAGCAAACACAGAAACAUGAAAGAGAAAAAGAUAAAGGAGCAGAAAGAAUACUUGAAGAAAUAAUGGCCAAAACUUCCCAAAUGUGAUAAAAACCACUAAUCUAUAGAUCCAAGAAUAUCAAUGACAUCAUAUAGGAUAAACUAAAAAAGAGCCACUUCUAGAAAUAAAAUAAUUAAACUGCUGAUAGCCAAAACAAACAGAAAAUCUUUAAAGCAGCAAAGUAGAAGCUGCAUUGCAAAUGAUGCCUAAUAGAUUAACAGCCAAUUUCUCAUCAGGAUCCAUGGAAGCCAGAGGCAAUGGGAUGACAUAUUCAAAGUACUGAAUGAAAACAACUGUCAAUCAAGAGUGUAUGUCCAGCAAAACUAACUUUAAAGAUGAAGGAAAAAUUAAGACUGUCAGAUAAACAAAAACUGAAAGAAUGUGUCACUAGCAAAUCUCUUGUGUAAGAUAUAGUAAAGGAAGUCCUUCAGGCUAAAAUUAAAGGAUAUUAGUAACUUGGAUCUGCAUGAAUAAAUGGAAAGCAUUGGUAUGUUGGAAUAUAAAAGACAGAUAAAUAUAUAUUUUAUUUGUAAGCUUUUUCUCCCAUGUGAUUUAUGGGAAACUGCAUAGAGUAAUAAUUAUAAAUCUGCAUUUUGAAAAUAUGUGCAAUGUAUAAAGAUGCCAUUUGUGUGACAAUAACACCACAAAGAAAAGAUGAUACAGCUAUAUAGAAUCAAGUUUUUUGUAUACUAUUAAAACUAAGUUCAUAUUAAUUUAAACUAGAUUAUUAUAAAUUCAGAUGUUAAUUGUACUCUCCAGUGGAACUACUAGGAAAGUAAUUGAAAAAAAAAGUGUCUCUUGCCACUUCUACUCAAAAUUUGACUGGAGGUGUUAGCCAGGAGAGUUGGGUAAGGAAAUAAAAAAUAAAAGACAUCAAGAUUGGGAAGAAAGAAAUAAAACUCUAUUCACAGAUGAUGUGAUUUUUUUUUUUUUGUAGAGAAUUCUAAGAAAUUCACAAAAAAUUUUAAAGCUAUAAAAAUGAGUUAUAAGAUUGCAGAAUGAAGUAUCAACAUACAAAAAUUAAUUGUAUUUUUGUAUAUUCAUGAGUAAUCCAAAAAGCAAAUAAAACAAUUUUAUUUAAAAAGCACAAAAGAAUAAAGUAUUUAGAAAUAAGUUUGACAAAAGAAGUGUGAAACUUGUAUACUGAAAACUAAAAACAGUGUUGAAAGAAAGUUUUAGAAAUCUUCAAAUUGAUGGAAAGGCAUCCUGUGUUCAUAGAUUGGAACACUUAAUAUGGUCAUUGACACUAAUCCAACAUUGACAGACAAAGAGAAUCUCUUUCAAAAUUGCAGCAUAAUUUUUUUUGAAUUGACAAGUUGAUUUUGACAUCCAUUUGGAAAUUCAAGGGGCCUGAAGAGCCAAAACAAUCUUCAAAAUGAUUGGAGGACUUACACUACCAAAUUUCAAAAGUUACUACAAAGCCUUAUACUUAAGACUGUAUCAUACUAGCAUAAUGAUAGGCAUGUAGAUUAAUGAAAUAAAAUUCAGCAUCCAGAAAUAAACCCAUGUAUUUAUGGACAAAUGAUUUUCUACAAGAGUACCAGGACAAUUUAGUUGGGGGAAAGAAUAGUCUUUGCAACAUGUUACUGGGAUAGUAGAGGUCCAUAUGUAAAAAAAAAAUGAAGUUGGACCCCUAACUCAUACCAUAUAUAAAAAUUAACUCAAAAUAGAUCAAAAACUUAAAUGUAAGAGCUAAAACUAUAAAGUUCUUAGGAUAAUACAUAACUAUAACUCAUCAUGACCUUUGAUCAUACAAUUACCUUGGAUCAGGCAAUGGUUUCCUAGAUAUGAUACAUAAAUCGAAACAAUUAGUGAAGAAUAAUACAUAAGAUUUCAUAAAAAUUAAAAACGUAUUUGUUUUAAAGAGCAUUAUUAAAAGAGUGAAAUGACAGUUAACAUAAUGGGAGAAAAUAUUUGCAAAUUAUAAAUAUUAUAAAGAGGUAGUAUCAAGAAUAUUUAAAGAAUUCUUACGACUAAAUAAUAUGAAGACAACCUAAUCAAAAAUGGGCAAAAGGGUUGGGCAUGGUGGCUUAUACCUGUAAUCCCAGCACUUUGGGAGGUCAAGGUGAGAGGAUUUCUUGAGGCCGGGAAUUCAAGACCAGGCUAGAAAACGUAGUGAGACCCCACCUCUACAAAAAAAUUAAACAAAAAUUUAGCCAGGCAUAGUAGUGUGCAGCACUGUAGUCCCAGUUACUUGGCAGGCUGAGGUGAGAGGAUUGCUUGAGCCUGGGAGGCUGACACUGCAGAGAGCUGUGAUCUCACCAUUGCACUCCAGCCUGGGCAACAGAGCAAGACCCCAUCUCUAAGAAAAAAAAAAGAAAAGGAAAAAAAGCGUCAAAAAUUUUAAUUAAAGAUUUCUUCUGUGAAAGGAAAAUAAAUCUUGAGGCCCCCAAAUCGCUAAGCUAAAGGGAAAAGUCAAGCUGGGAACAGCUUAGGACCAACCUGACUCCCAUUCUAUUCAGGCACUCCUCUGCUCACUGAGAUAAAUACAUAUCUGAUUGCCUCAUUUGGAGAGGCUAAUCAAAAAACUCAAAAGAAUGCAACCAUUUGUCUGUUAUCUACCUAUGACCUGGAAGCCCCCUCCCCGCUUUGAGUCUUCCUGUCUUUGCUUCAAGGUGUCUUGCCUUUCCAGACCAAAUCAAUGUUCAUCUUGCAUAUUUGAUUGAUGUCUCAUGUCUCACUGGAAUGUAUAAAACCAAUCUGUGCUCUGAGCACCUUGGGCACGUGUAGUCAGGACCUCCUGAGGCUGUGUUGUGGGCACACAUCCUCAACCUUGG
Molecule: long non-coding RNA, 7409 nt
Filed under: Homo sapiens (human)
Lineage: Eukaryota; Metazoa; Chordata; Mammalia; Primates; Hominidae
Description: HSALNT0150664
Source: RNAcentral